GGGUUGUGAGGUUAAGCGACUAAGCGUACACGGUGGAUGCCCUGGCAGUCAGAGGCGAUGAAGGGCGUGCUAAUCUGCGAUAAGCGCCGGUAAGGUGAUAUGAACCGUUAUAACCGGCGAUACCCGAAUGGGGAAACCCAGUGUGAUUCGUCACACUAUCAUUAACUGAAUCCAUAGGUUAAUGAGGCGAACCGGGGGAACUGAAACAUCUAAGUACCCCGAGGAAAAGAAAUCAACCGAGAUUCCCCCAGUAGCGGCGAGCGAACGGGGAGGAGCCCAGAGCCUGAAUCAGCAUGUGUGUUAGUGGAAGCGUCUGGAAAGGCGCGCGAUACAGGGUGACAGCCCCGUACACAAAAGCGCAUGUGCUGUGAGCUCGAUGAGUAGGGCGGGACACGUGGUAUCCUGUCUGAAUAUGGGGGGACCAUCCUCCAAGGCUAAAUACUCCUGACUGACCGAUAGUGAACCAGUACCGUGAGGGAAAGGCGAAAAGAACCCCGGCGAGGGGAGUGAAAAAGAACCUGAAACCGUGUACGUACAAGCAGUGGGAGCACAGGUUUACCUNAAACCGUGUACGUACAAGCAGUGGGAGCCCCACCACCAAAGCAUUUGCUGUACCGCGUUGACGGAGCGAAGCGACGUCAAACCGAUAAAACAGCAGUGUAAAGUGAGCCGCAGGGCGCUUUGCGCGACAGCGCAAAGGCAGGCGGUUUCGCGUAGCGAAAGCGAAUGCUUUGGGGUGGGGUGACUGCGUACCUUUUGUAUAAUGGGUCAGCGACUUAUAUUCUGUAGCAAGGUUAACCGAAUAGGGGAGCCGGAGGGAAACCGAGUCUUAAUUGGGCGUUAAGUUGCAGGGUAUAGACCCGAAACCCGGUGAUCUAGCCAUGGGCAGGUUGAAGGUUGGGUAACACUAACUGGAGGACCGAACCGACUAAUGUUGAAAAAUUAGCGGAUGACCUGUGGCUGGGGGUGAAAGGCCAAUCAAACCGGGAGAUAGCUGGUUCUCCCCGAAAGCUAUUUAGGUAGCGCCUCGUGAAUUCAUCUCCGGGGGUAGAGCACUGUUUCGGCUAGGGGGCCAUCCCGGCUUACCAACCCGAUGCAAACUGCGAAUACCGGAGAAUGUUAUCACGGGAGACACACGGCGGGUGCUAACGUCCGUCGUGAAGAGGGAAACAACCCAGACCGCCAGCUAAGGUCCCAAAGUCAUGGUUAAGUGGGAAACGAUGUGGGAAGGCCCAGACAGCCAGGAUGUUGGCUUAGAAGCAGCCAUCAUUUAAAGAAAGCGUAAUAGCUCACUGGUCGAGUCGGCCUGCGCGGAAGAUGUAACGGGGCUAAACCAUGCACCGAAGCUGCGGCAGCGACACUGUGUGUUGUUGGGUAGGGGAGCGUUCUGUAAGCCUGUGAAGGUGUGUCGUGAGGCANAACCAUGCACCGAAGCUGCGGCAGCGACGCUUAUGCGUUGUUGGGUAGGGGAGCGUUCUGUAAGCCUGCGAAGGUGGCCUGUGAGGGUUGCUGGAGGUAUCAGAAGUGCGAAUGCUGACAUAAGUAACGAUAAAGCGGGUGAAAAGCCCGCUCGCCGGAAGACCAAGGGUUCCUGUCCAACGUUAAUCGGGGCAGGGUGAGUCGACCCCUAAGGCGAGGCCGAAAGGCGUAGUCGAUGGGAAACGGGUUAAUAUUCCCGUACUUGGUGUUACUGCGAAGGGGGGACGGAGAAGGCUAUGUUGGCCGGGCGACGGUUGUCCCGGUUUAAGCGUGUAGGUGUGUGUUCCAGGUAAAUCCGGUUCACUUUAACACUGAGGCGUGACGACGAGGCACUACGGUGCUGAAGCAACAAAUGCCCUGCUUCCAGGAAAAGCCUCUAAGCAUCAGGUAACAUCAAAUCGUACCCCAAACCGACACAGGUGGUCAGGUAGAGAAUACCAAGGCGCUUGAGAGAACUCGGGUGAAGGAACUAGGCAAAAUGGUGCCGUAACUUCGGGAGAAGGCACGCUGACACGUAGGUGAAGUGAUUUACUCAUGGAGCUGAAGUCAGUCGAAGAUACCAGCUGGCUGCAACUGUUUAUUAAAAACACAGCACUGUGCAAACACGAAAGUGGACGUAUACGGUGUGACGCCUGCCCGGUGCCGGAAGGUUAAUUGAUGGGGUCAGCGCAAGCGAAGCUCCUGAUCGAAGCCCCGGUAAACGGCGGCCGUAACUAUAACGGUCCUAAGGUAGCGAAAUUCCUUGUCGGGUAAGUUCCGACCUGCACGAAUGGCGUAAUGAUGGCCAGGCUGUCUCCACCCGAGACUCAGUGAAAUUGAACUCGCUGUGAAGAUGCAGUGUACCCGCGGCAAGACGGAAAGACCCCGUGAACCUUUACUAUAGCUUGACACUGAACAUUGAGCCUUGAUGUGUAGGAUAGGUGGGAGGCUUUGAAGUGUGGACGCCAGUCUGCAUGGAGCCGACCUUGAAAUACCACCCUUUAAUGUUUGAUGUUCUAACGUGGACCCGUUACCCGGGUUGCGGACAGUGUCUGGUGGGUAGUUUGACUGGGGCGGUCUCCUCCUAAAGAGUAACGGAGGAGCACGAAGGUUGGCUAAUCCUGGUCGGACAUCAGGAGGUUAGUGCAAUGGCAUAAGCCAGCUUGACUGCGAGCGUGACGGCGCGAGCAGGUGCGAAAGCAGGUCAUAGUGAUCCGGUGGUUCUGAAUGGAAGGGCCAUCGCUCAACGGAUAAAAGGUACUCCGGGGAUAACAGGCUGAUACCGCCCAAGAGUUCAUAUCGACGGCGGUGUUUGGCACCUCGAUGUCGGCUCAUCACAUCCUGGGGCUGAAGUAGGUCCCAAGGGUAUGGCUGUUCGCCAUUUAAAGUGGUACGCGAGCUGGGUUUAGAACGUCGUGAGACAGUUCGGUCCCUAUCUGCCGUGGGCGCUGGAGAACUGAGGGGGGCUGCUCCUAGUACGAGAGGACCGGAGUGGACGCAUCACUGGUGUUCGGGUUGUCAUGCCAAUGGCACUGCCCGGUAGCUAAAUGCGGAAGAGAUAAGUGCUGAAAGCAUCUAAGCACGAAACUUGCCCCGAGAUGAGUUCUCCCUGAGACUUAGAGUCUCCUGAAGGAACGUUGAAGACGACGACGUUGAUAGGCCGGGUGUGUAAGCGCAGCGAUGCGUUGAGCUAACCGGUACUAAUGAACCGUGAGGCUUAACCUUACAACGCCGAAG
Molecule: ribosomal RNA, 3195 nt
Filed under: Salmonella enterica subsp. enterica serovar Enteritidis
Lineage: Bacteria; Pseudomonadati; Pseudomonadota; Gammaproteobacteria; Enterobacterales; Enterobacteriaceae
Description: 23S ribosomal RNA
Rfam family: Bacterial large subunit ribosomal RNA
Source: RNAcentral